UACGGAGGGGGCUAGCGUUGUUCGGAAUUACUGGGCGUAAAGCGCGCGUAGGCGGUUUAUCAAGUUGGGAGUGAAAUCCCGGGGCUUAACCUCGGAAUUGCUUUCAAAACUGGUAAACUAGAGAUCGGUAGAGGAUAGCGGAAUUCCUAGUGUAGAGGUGAAAUUCGUAGAUAUUAGGAGGAACACCGGAGGCGAAGGCGGCUAUCUGGACCGAUUCUGACGCUAAGGCGCGAAAGCGUGGGGAGCAAACAGG
Molecule: ribosomal RNA, 253 nt
Filed under: uncultured bacterium
Lineage: Bacteria
Description: partial 16S ribosomal RNA
Rfam family: Bacterial small subunit ribosomal RNA
Source: RNAcentral